Molecule: ribosomal RNA, 253 nt
Filed under: uncultured bacterium
Lineage: Bacteria
Description: partial 16S ribosomal RNA
Rfam family: Bacterial small subunit ribosomal RNA
Source: RNAcentral
UACGUAGGGGGCAAGCGUUGUCCGGAUGUAUUGGGCGUAAAGAGCGUGUAGGCGGCCAGACAAGUCUGCUGUGAAAACUCGAGGCUCAACCUCGAGCUGUCGGUGGAAACUGUCUGGCUAGAGUCCGGAAGAGGAGAGUGGAAUUCCUGGUGUAGCGGUGAAAUGCGCAGAUAUCAGGAAGAACACCUAUGGCGAAGGCAGCUCUCUGGGACGGUACUGACGCUGAGACGCGAAAGCGUGGGGAGCGAACAGG